Molecule: ribosomal RNA, 497 nt
Filed under: uncultured bacterium
Lineage: Bacteria
Description: partial 16S ribosomal RNA
Rfam family: Bacterial small subunit ribosomal RNA
Source: RNAcentral
GAUGAACGCUGGCGGCGUGCCUAAUACAUGCAAGUCGAGCGAACAGAUGAGGAGCUUGCUCCUCUGACGUUAGCGGCGGACGGGUGAGUAACACGUGGAUAACCUACCUAUAAGACUGGGAUAACUUCGGAAAACCGGAGCUAAUACCGGAUAAUAUAUUGAACCGCAUGGUUCAAUAGUGAAAGACGGUUUUGCUGUCACUUAUAGAUGGAUCCGCGCCGCAUUAGCUAGUUGGUAAGGUAACGGCUUACCAAGGCAACGAUGCGUAGCCGACCUGAGAGGGUGAUCGGCCACACUGGAACUGAGACACGGUCCAGACUCCUACGGGAGGCAGCAGUAGGGAAUCUUCCGCAAAGGGCGAAAGCCUGACGGAGCAACGCCGCGUGAGUGAUGAAGGUCUUCGGAUCGUAAAACUCUGUUAUUAGGGAAGAACAAAUGUGUAAGUAACUAUGCACGUCUUGACGGUACCUAAUCAGAAAGCCGCGGCUAACUACGUG